Small nuclear RNA from Suricata suricatta (meerkat), 107 nucleotides. The record is from Ensembl. Lineage: Eukaryota; Metazoa; Chordata; Mammalia; Carnivora; Herpestidae.
GUGCUGGCUUCAGCAGCACAUAUGCUGGAGUUGGAAUAGUGCAGAAAGGAUUAGUGUGGCCUCUGUGCAAGGAGGAAACAAAAAUUCAUGAAAUUAUAUACACACAU